CAGCCGCCGCGGGAAUACAGAGGGUGCGAGCGUUAAUCGGAUUUACUGGGCGUAAAGCGUGCGUAGGCGGCUUCUUAAGUCGGAUGUGAAAUCCCUGAGCUUAACUUAGGAAUUGCAUUCGAUACUGGGAAGCUAGAGUAUGGGAGAGGAUGGUAGAAUUCCAGGUGUAGCGGUGAAAUGCGUAGAGAUCUGGAGGAAUACCGAUGGCGAAGGCAGCCAUCUGGCCUAAUACUGACGCUGAGGUACGAAAGCAUGGGGAGCAAACAGGAUUAGAUACCCCCGUAGUCCCUGUCUCUUAUCC
Molecule: ribosomal RNA, 301 nt
Filed under: uncultured bacterium
Lineage: Bacteria
Description: partial 16S ribosomal RNA
Rfam family: Bacterial small subunit ribosomal RNA
Source: RNAcentral